RNAcentral lists this long non-coding RNA (323 nucleotides) under Mytilus galloprovincialis (Mediterranean mussel). The record is from RNAcentral. Lineage: Eukaryota; Metazoa; Mollusca; Bivalvia; Mytilida; Mytilidae.
UGCUGAGUAUUUAUAGGCAACAUAUCUAAUAUAUUCCUUUCUUGUGAUUUCGUCUCUUCUAUAUUUGUUGUAAUUGUCAAUAACGAAAUCCAUCUUUUCUUUGUCUUGCUAUUAACGUACUUAUGUGUAUGGCCGUCGAUGGUUAUAAAAAUUGACUCCUAGGAUAGUUGCAGUGUGCAAUAUGUCCAUCAAAUACAGCAAAGUUCAGAACAAUAUGAAUCAAAAUUAACUAAAACCUUUGUUUAUAAACAGAUUUUACCAAUAUACCUGCACGGUAUAGUAUAUGUACAAGUAUUAACUUACCUGUAAAUCCAAUUAGGAGC